Molecule: non-coding RNA, 1116 nt
Organism: Pygocentrus nattereri (red-bellied piranha)
Lineage: Eukaryota; Metazoa; Chordata; Actinopteri; Characiformes; Serrasalmidae
Source: the annotation of a RefSeq genome assembly
AAAUAUUCCACAGUCCACUGUCAGUGGGAUUAUAACAAAGGGUGUUGGUGGGGGUGGUCAGCUGAAAAACAGUGGGAGUGAAAGACAUUUCAGCAGUACUGUCUCUGAACACUAGGGGGGGCUCAACCUUCAUUCAUGCAAAAUAUAGCAGUGGAUGAUCGUUUUACUGAACUAACUCUAUUGGUUAAAGACUGCUUAUGUAAAUUUAUAUGUGGCUUCUAGGCUCCACAUAAAAAUCAACUCAUCUAGUGCUCAUAUGACUUCCAGCCCCAGAAGUGAAAUAAGAAAAGAAAGAAAAGAAAAAAAACUGUCGGCUAUCAAAGAGUUUCAUUAUGGGGUUUAGUGUUGCUCAGUACUCCAUUCUUAUACUGAUACUAACACAGGAUACCGUUCAUGCUCAGAUCCGACUUGACCAGUCUUCUGCUGAGGUGAAGAAACCUGGAGAAGCUGUGAAGAUCUCCUGUAAAAUUAGUGGGUACAGCAUGACGAGCUACAACAUUCACUGGCUAAGACAGAAACCAGGACAAGCUCUGGAAUGGAUUGGGAGGAUGAGCACUGGCUCAAAUUCAGCAACAUAUGCAGACUCAGUGAAAGACCACUUCACAAUGACUGAGGACGUUUCCACAAGUACGCAGUUCUUAGAGGCCAAGAGUCUGAGAGCAGAGGACACUGCUGUUUAUUACUGCGCUCGACAACCACAGUGAUGGAUCUGAUGGAGCAGCUGUACUAAAACCACACACACUUACUGACUAAACUGACUGAAAGAUCUUCUCUAUUUCUCAAAUGUCACCAGACACAAUGAAUUAUACUACAACCAGUGGAAAACAGCUUUGACUACACAAUGUUUUAAAUUUUUAAGCUAAUGUUUGGGAAAGAAAGUGGAUUAAAAAUGGUUUUAGAAUAACAUUAGUGGACGAUAAGAAGGCCAGUACAUUAUCAUGCAUUGGUUUCUCUUUAGUCGGCUUUGUGUCCAAUGUCUGCUGUUCUAAUGGACCUCUUCUAUUUCAUUACUGCUUACAAACUGGACUAUGUUUGAGUAGAUGAGUUCAAUUCAUUGUAUAUUGUCAUGUUUGUACACCAAUCAGGCCUAACAUUAUGACCACCCCCUUGUUUCUA